RNAcentral lists this ribosomal RNA (490 nucleotides) under uncultured bacterium. Its description in RNAcentral is "partial 16S ribosomal RNA". It matches the Rfam family "Bacterial small subunit ribosomal RNA", at positions 30 to 507 of the family's 1533-position model. The record is from RNAcentral.
AUUGAACGCUGGCGGCAGGCCUAACACAUGCAAGUCGAACGGUAGCAGGAAGAAGCUUGCUUCUUUGCUGACGAGUGGCGGACGGGUGAGUAAUGUCUGGGAAACUGCCUGAUGGAGGGGGAUAACUACUGGAAACGGUAGCUAAUACCGCAUAACGUCGCAAGACCAAAGAGGGGGACCUUCGGGCCUCUUGCCAUCGGAUGUGCCCAGAUGGGAUUAGCUAGUAGGUGGGGUAACGGCUCACCUAGGCGACGAUCCCUAGCUGGUCUGAGAGGAUGACCAGCCGCACUGGAACUGAGACACGGUCCAGACUCCUACGGGAGGCAGCAGUGGGGAAUAUUGCACAAUGGGCGCAAGCCUGAUGCAGCCAUGCCGCGUGUAUGAAGAAGGCCUUCGGGUUGUAAAGUACUUUCAGCGGGGAGGAAGGGAGUAAAGUUAAUACCUUUGCUCAUUGACGUUACCCGCAGAAGAAGCAUCGGCUAACUCCGUG